RNAcentral lists this transfer RNA (72 nucleotides) under Ovis aries (sheep). It matches the Rfam family "tRNA". Rfam says of the family: Transfer RNA (tRNA) molecules are approximately 80 nucleotides in length. Their secondary structure includes four short double-helical elements and three loops (D, anti-codon, and T loops). The record is from Rfam by way of RNAcentral. Lineage: Eukaryota; Metazoa; Chordata; Mammalia; Artiodactyla; Bovidae.
UCCCUUGUAGCUUAGUCGGUAAAGAAUCUGCCUUCAGUGCAGGAGAUCCAGGUUCAAUCUCUGGGUCGGGAA